This 361-nucleotide ribosomal RNA is filed under the name uncultured bacterium. Its description in RNAcentral is "bacterial SSU rRNA". It matches the Rfam family "Bacterial small subunit ribosomal RNA", at positions 28 to 388 of the family's 1533-position model. The record is from RNAcentral.
GACGAACGCUGGCGGCGUGCUUAACACAUGCAAGUCGAGCGGUAAGGCCCUUUCGGGGGUACACGAGCGGCGAACGGGUGAGUAACACGUGGGUGACCUGCCCUUAGCUCUGGGAUAAGCCUGGGAAACUGGGUCUAAUACCGGAUAUGACUCCAUGACGCAUGUUGUGGGGUGAAAGCCUUGUGCGGCUAGGGAUGGGCCCGCGGCCUAUCAGCUUGUUGGUGGGGUGAUGGCCACCAAGGCGACGACGGGUAGCCGGCCUGAGAGGGCGACCGGCCGACACUGGGACGUGAGACACGGCCCACGACUCCUACGGGAGGGCAGCAGUGGGGAAUCUUGCGCAAUGGGCGAAAGCCUGACG